AGCCCCAGUCAGAGCAUAGUCAGUCGUGAGUGAGUGAAUCCUACCGCUCUCCUUUAGCAACCAGCAGCUCCCAGUCAGUCAGGAUGAAACACACAAACUCCAUCACAGGCUUUCUGUGCUGUAGCUUCCUUCUUAUUUUCACUGGAGCCCUGUGCUUCCCAUGUGUCACAGGAGACGGAGGUGACAUUCUAGAAGUUUCUGGACCUGAGAUCAUUUCUCCUUCGUCAAGCCCGCAGUCAGUCUCAGUGUUUAAUGUCAGUGAAGGU
Long non-coding RNA from Chanos chanos (milkfish), 266 nucleotides. RefSeq lists it as uncharacterized. The record is from RefSeq and is a predicted model, not a curated record. Lineage: Eukaryota; Metazoa; Chordata; Actinopteri; Gonorynchiformes; Chanidae. The transcript has 3 exons.